AACGAACGCUGGCGGCAUGCCUAACACAUGCAAGUCGAACGAGACCUUCGGGUCUAGUGGCGCACGGGUGCGUAACGCGUGGGAACCUGCCCUUAGGUUCGGAAUAACUCCCCGAAAGGGGUGCUAAUACCGGAUAAUGUCUUCGGACCAAAGAUUUAUCGCCUUUGGAUGGGCCCGCGUUGGAUUAGCUAGUUGGUAGGGUAAAAGCCUACCAAGGCGACGAUCCAUAGCUGGUCUGAGAGGAUGAUCAGCCACACUGGGACUGAGACACGGCCCAGACUCCUACGGGAGGCAGCAGUGGGGAAUAUUGGACAAUGGGCGAAAGCCUUAUCCAGCAAUGCCGCGUGAGUGAUGUAGGCCUUAGGGUUGUAAAGCUCUUUUACCCGGGAUGAUAAUGACAGUACCGGGAGAAUAAGCUCCGGCUAACUCCGUG
Molecule: ribosomal RNA, 433 nt
Filed under: uncultured bacterium
Lineage: Bacteria
Description: partial 16S ribosomal RNA
Rfam family: Bacterial small subunit ribosomal RNA
Source: RNAcentral